GUCGACAUCUCCAUCUUUAAACAUGAUGGAUUCUGGUGGUUUCUGCACGCCUCUCCUUCUAUACGUUACCUGGAAAAUAUUAUGGAGUCGUCGGAGUCCAUACCUUCUCCUUCUCUCGUCGUCUGAUAAGUAGAUUGAGUCUGGUGGAAGGCGGCUCAGGAUGUCUGGACGCCGUAGGAUUCCGGACGACGAAAAAGUGGUGCCAGAAAGGGGUAACCUUGCCAGAAGACGGCGCCGGGGGACGGUGGGGCAUGGCGGCGUGCGCACGCUCCUUCGCCGAAGGAUAGUUUCUGAUCUUUCCGGAAACAGGCGAGGGGCGUACGGGCGGGGGCAGACGUCCCUUCCCGAUUUUCUCCGCCGCUCAAACCCUAAAGACGUCGAAGCGACCCGUUUUCCCGAGUCGGUUUUGCGGGAGAAUGGCACGCACGAUUUCGGUGCACGACGGCCUGAACGGCCGGUCCGCAUCUCACG
RNAcentral lists this long non-coding RNA (471 nucleotides) under Spirodela polyrhiza (greater duckweed). RNAcentral's name for it is "long non-coding RNA (SPOL_LNC000403)". The record is from RNAcentral. Lineage: Eukaryota; Viridiplantae; Streptophyta; Magnoliopsida; Alismatales; Araceae.